GUCCACGCCGUAAACGAUGGGCACUAGGUGUUCGGGGUAUUGACCCCCUGAGUGCCGCAGCUAACGCAUUAAGUGCCCCGCCUGGGGACUACGGCCGCAAGGUUAAAACUCAAAGGAAUUGACGGGGGCCCGCACAAGCGGUGGAGCAUGUGGUUCAAUUCGACGCAACGCGAAGAACCUUACCUGGGCUAGACAACAUCGGACCGCCCUAGAAAUAGGGUCUUCCCGCAAGGGACCGGUGGUUCAGGUGCUGCAUGGCUGUCGU
Molecule: ribosomal RNA, 265 nt
Filed under: uncultured bacterium
Lineage: Bacteria
Description: partial 16S ribosomal RNA
Rfam family: Bacterial small subunit ribosomal RNA
Source: RNAcentral